AACGCACCUUGCGCCCCAUGGUAUUCCGUGGGGCACGCCUGUUUGAGUGUCACGUUAAUCCUCAUUACAAAAUGUGUAACAACGUUUUGUAAUGGAUUUGGAUGUUGCCGUCGUUGGCUCAUCUCGAAAUGACAUUAGCUGUCUAAGGACUUGAGCUAUUGGUGUAAUACUUAUGUUGCGCCGCUUUGUUCAUGGUCUGGUGGUGGCUCAUAAAGUGUCCGCAAGGACAAUACUUUUAAGACUUUGGCCUCAAAUCAGGUGGGACUACCCGCUGAACUUAA
RNAcentral lists this unclassified non-coding RNA (281 nucleotides) under uncultured fungus. RNAcentral describes it as "sequence contains ITS2". The stretch from base 1 to 52 matches the Rfam family "5.8S ribosomal RNA", at positions 103 to 154 of the family's 154-position model. The record is from RNAcentral. Lineage: Eukaryota; Fungi.